ACCAGGACAGCAGCUCCUGCUGCAGACAGCGCCUCCUGCACAAACCGCACACAAUCGUCCAGAAAGCUCAGCAGGUCAGAGGCGGCAUCGUCCAGCGCCCGCACAAACAUCGUCUGCCGGUCGCCGAGAGGCGGCGGCUCCUUGGAGUCCACGGUCAGCACAUGGGAGAUACCAGAGUCCGGAUCGACUGUCGCCGCAUCUCCGGCCGUCCCGAGGAACAGGCCACGCCGCAGCGGGAUCAUGGCGGCCUGUCUGACGUUACCACGCACGGCAACUUCCGGUUGGGGGGAUGGGGCCAGGCGGCGGACGGGCAAUGUCACAAAGUAGAAAGAAGCAGAGCAGAAAGUUCCCUGUAUCAUGGGGCUAACGGUGACAAAAGGUUCGCCAUCCCUUAUUGCUGAGAACAUAUGCCCCUUUACAACUCCAAGCUCACCUUCAUCUGCCCCGGACCUGGCAAUGACAGUCACCACGGAAUUCAUGCCUUCUACUCCACCUCACCUUUUCCCUUUUCUGAUUUUCUGCUUUUACAAGAAGAAUUGCUGCCUGUCCAGGCACAACAGCCCCAGGAGGAGAGACAGAGAGAGCAACUCCACUUCACUGAUGAAGAGGCCCAAUCACUUGAUAUAACAUUCACAGCCACCAGCUCAGAUACUUGUACUGAGCAUAUCUCUAGGGCUAGCAUGGAGUUGUGAUCUGCACUUGGUGGGUCUCCAGGGCUUCUGUCACACGAAGGAAAUGGAUGGUCUGUGUGCCAGUUCGCUGGAAGGUGAGAUUGCAGACAUGUUUUGCUAAAGAGAACCCAGAUGAGAACUUCAGUGGAGCUACAGACAAGAGACAGCUGAUGGGUAUGCACAGAUGUAGGGGAUACUGAUAUUGUGUGGCUCAUAUUUGGAGGUUCGGCAUCAUACCAUCUGGUAGAGAUAGCAAGAACUGCAGAUGCUAGAGUCAGAGAUAACAAAGUGUGGAGCUGGAGGAACACAGCAGGCCAAGCAGCUUCAGAGGAACAGGAAAGCUGACGCACCUGGUAGACUGUUUGACAAUGUAGUAGCACCAGAUCAGUUCCUUCUGUGGCGAUAGAAGUGCAUUGCCCCACACUAAGAGGACAUUUGGCUUCUACCAUGUUGUGUGCAAUGGCAUUAUAGAUCUGAAUUUCAUGUCCCAUUAUACUACCCUUGAAUUUCUGAGGCUUCUCCUUGAUAGCCACUCCUGACCUAAAACUAUAUCCCGUAUGUAAACACCUGCUCCGGUGAGGAAAUACAAGAUAUUGCUCUUUCUGGAAGAUGCAGGGUGAGGCAUUCUGGCAUUCUAGCAUUCUCAACACUGGAUGUUCGAUGACCAUCAAUGAGAUGCCCAAACACAGGGCACUCUGUUAAAACACAGCCUACACUGGGCCCUGGGCUGGGACAUUCCUCCAAAUGUGUCAGUUCUGGCUCAGAGUUCGUAGCUCUUUUGCCAGUGAAUCACAAGGUUCUGGGUUCAUGUCCCAGUCCAUGGCCAUGUACUUAAAAAAACCUGAGCUAAUAUUUCAGUGCAGUAGUGAAGCAGCAUUGUUUUGUCAGAGGUGACACCUCUCAAGCAAGACAUUAAACUGAGGUCCAGCUCGAAGAAGAGCGAGAGAGUUAUCCACAGUGUCUGGUCAAUAAUUAACUAUCAAGUAACAUCACAAAACUGAUUCUCAGAUCAUUAUUACAUUGUUAACCACAUCUAAUUGAUUAAAAAAAAGUUAGCAGCAAUUAGAUGUUAGUCUGUGAUGCCAAAUGACCAAAGUAGAGGAAAGAUGCAAGGACUCUUGGAACAAUAUAAAAGUAAUAAGCCUACUGAGUUUUGGUCUUCAUCCGUCAGGAUCUUUCAGCUAUGGAGUAUGUUGGCUGCUGCUGAAGUGCACUGACCAGAAAGUCACUGGAGCCUGCAGCAGAAUUCCAGUUUGCACCUCUGGUUCCCAACGCAGGUAAUAGACAGCCAUCAACACCUAGAGAACUAUAUUCCAAAACAACACUGUUUUUUUGAAAACUAAAAAGGAGAAUUGUCGAACACUGGAUUCUCAAACGUACCUUCUAAGCCUUCAGUACUGGAAAAAGACAAAUCAGAAUAAUUUAAUAGUAACUGACCUUGCAGAGUGUUUUUCAUAGACAUUGUUCAAAAACAAAAUUGGAAUUAAGUUUAUUGCAACAAUCUACAUUUCUGAACACACGUGGACUCAGCUUCUUAGACAAUGACCAGCUUCACAUCUUCAAUUAACAGUUUAAAUGUUUAUGGUGCAAAUGUUACAGGUUUUCAUUAUCAGCGGUAUUCUCUGAGGUGUGGUGAUGCCUGGUAAUAGAUGGACGGAAUGCACACUCGUUGCUGAAUUUUACACAGGAGGGGAUGGACCUGCUCACUAACUGAAAAAUCAAACACAAACUCAUUUCUGUCAGCCCUAGAAACAUAGCUCAGAAGUUAAUUUUCUGAUGUCGUGACUUUUGCCCCAACAAGGGAGAAAACAAUCAAGCUGAUGGCCGGCAACUCCAUAUCCCCAACAGCACCACUAGGAGCAGUGGAUUCUGCUGGGACUGCAGUUACGCUUCAAUAUCACAGGAAUGUCACUGGAAACCAGGUUAAAGGCAUGUGAAGCAGCUUCUCUGGGGCCAGUCAGACAGGCUAUCAUAAGGUGGGGUGGAGGUCAGUGGGCAGGAAGCAGUGAUGGGAGAUCAACACCUACCACAUUGCUGGUAAAUACCACUGGUAUUAUGUAGGUGAUGAGCUUGAUGCUGUGCUGCCAUCCCCAUUGCUGCCCACUCCCUCACCAUCUCAUCUGACUUUAGAGCUCUCUUGCCUCCCGCCUGCCCUCCAGGCUGGAAAAGUCCAAUGUGUGUUUGUAUAAGUGCUAGCAGAUCUCCAGUGCCAUCGAUCAUUGUGAGCUAUGAUAUAUUUUGUUCAUCCUAAGUAAUGCAUGAUGGUUACUUUCCUUUGCCUUUGCAAUGAACAAUUUAUCAUUCUCAAUGGUUCCAACCUGAACUCAAUUCUCAUUACGCUAUCUGCUCUGAAUUCAGAAUCUUGCUGCCUACUUUAAAUCUCUCCUUCCUUACAUCACAUAGACAUGUUCAAGGCCAUCCAAUCAAUCUAUUUGUCUUCCAUUCAAUAUCUGCAAAGACAGACUCUACUACUUCACUUUCUGUCUUUGUCAGGGUAUCAGCAGAUCAUCUAAAUCAAUAUAACCUGGAAAUAAAACAAAGCUUAAAAUGUUUACUGGGGACCAAAGUGUACAGAGAGUCCGUACUUUGUCUAUUUUCUUCAAAGCUUGUGUUCAAAGCCAGUCUGUAGGUUUGGGAUGACAUUCUCCACUUUAUUUGCUCUACAUUAUUAUCCCUGAGAUUUUGGUAGAAGGUAAGGUACAGACAUGGAUAGAGGAUUGGCUUACUGGCAGAGGGCUGAAAAUAGGGAUAAAGAGGUCUUUUCGAGGAUGUCAGCCGGUGACUAGUGGAGUUCCGCAGGGGUCAGUGUUGGGACCACACUAUUCACAUUAUACAUUAAGGAGGACAUUGUUGCUAAGUUUGCAGAUGACACAAAGGUAAGUGGAGGGACAGGUAGUGUUGAGGAAGCAGAGAGGCUGCAAAAGGACUUGGACAUUAUAGGCCAGUGGGCAAAGAAGUGGCAGAUUGAGUACAAUGUGGGAAAGUGUGAGGUUAUACAUUUUGGUAGGAAGGAAAAAAGGCAUAGACUAUUUUCUAAAUGGGGAAAGGCUUCAGAAAGCUGAAGCGCAACAUGACUUGGGAGUCCUAGUUUAGGAUUCUAAGGUUAACAUGCAGGUUCAGUUAGCAGUAAGAAAGGUAAAUGCAAUACUAGCAUUCAUUUCAAGAGGGCUAGAAUACAAGAGCAAGGAUGUAUUGCUGAGGCUGUAUAAGGCUGUACUCAGACUGGAAUAUUGUGAGCAGUUUGGGUCCUGUAUCUAAGGAAAUAUAUGCUGGCAUUGAAGGAAGUUUACAAGAAUGAUCUCGGGGAUGAAGGGCUUGUCAUGGGAGUGGUUCAGCACUCUGGGUCUGUACUUGAUGUUUAAAAGGAUGGGGGCAUAGGGGUAUCUCAUUGAAGCUAACAGAAAUACUGAGACUCCUGGACAGAGUGGAUGUGGAGAAGAUGUUUCCACUAGCAGGAGACACUAGAACCCGGGAGCACAGCCUCAAAGUGCAGGGAUGACCCUUUACAACUGAGAUGAGAAGGAAUUUCUUCAGCCGGAGGGUGGUGACCCUGUGGAACUCAUUGCCGCAGAGUACUAUGGAGGCCAAGUCAAUGAGUGUCUUUAAGACAGAGUUGGACAGCUUCUUAAGAAGAUCAGGGAUUACAGGGAGAAGGGAGGAGAAUGGGAUUGAGAAACAUCAGCCAUGAUCAAAUGGUGCAGCAGAAUUAAUGGGCUGAAUGGCCUAAUUCUGUUCCUUUACCUUAUGGUCUAUGGUCUAAGACACUAGUAAACCAAAUGUUUUUUCAUAUGACAAUUGACAGUGAUAUCAUCAUAUCAGAUGACAUUAAUGGCACUUUUCCUAAGGAAAAACUGUAUGGAUAAUUUAUAUGGGUGAGGUAUUAUACUGGUAAAGUAAGUAGUGCUCUUCCAAAGCUAGAGAGAGGGCGUUUUUUUUUAGGGACUGUAGAAGAAGCUGUACAUUGAAGCCACUAUACAGUACGCAUCAAGGGUACCUGGCACUGACAAUGGCCAAAUGAAAUGAAGAAUCAUUUAAUUUCUCAGAUCACCAUUCCCACUUUGUACAGCAGAAAAAUAAAUCUUUUUCAAAAUGUAAAAUAAAUUGAAGCUACCUGUCA
Rhincodon typus (whale shark) is the source of this 4788-nucleotide long non-coding RNA. RefSeq lists it as uncharacterized. The transcript is spliced from 3 exons. The record is from RefSeq and is a predicted model, not a curated record. Lineage: Eukaryota; Metazoa; Chordata; Chondrichthyes; Orectolobiformes; Rhincodontidae.